RNAcentral lists this non-coding RNA (97 nucleotides) under Candidatus Cryptoclostridium obscurum. RNAcentral describes it as "Pyrrolysine insertion sequence mttB". It matches the Rfam family "Pyrrolysine insertion sequence mttB". Lineage: Bacteria; Bacillati; Bacillota; Clostridia. The record is from RNAcentral.
UAGGCAGACAGCAAAUGUGCUGACGGUCAGGCUGCGCAUGAAAAAACCAUCACCGCGAUGCUCCCCGCAUUGGCAGGUGCCAAUGUGAUUUAUGGAC